This 458-nucleotide ribosomal RNA is filed under the name Morchella sp. RNAcentral's name for it is "partial large subunit ribosomal RNA". It matches the Rfam family "Eukaryotic large subunit ribosomal RNA", at positions 151 to 611 of the family's 3401-position model. Lineage: Eukaryota; Fungi; Ascomycota; Pezizomycetes; Pezizales; Morchellaceae. The record is from RNAcentral.
UUGUGAGGCAUCUCCGGGUAGGGCGCCGGCCUAAGUUCCUUGGAACAGGACGUCAUAGAGGGUGAGAAUCCCGUGCUUGGCUGGCUGUCCCCGUCCAUGUGAGGUGUCUUCGACGAGUCGAGUUGUUUGGGAAUGCAGCUCAAAAUGGGUGGUAAAUUUCAUCUAAAGCUAAAUAUUGGUGGGAGACCGAUAGCGCACAAGUAGAGUGAUCGAAAGAUGAAAAGCACUUUGAAAAUAGAGUUAAAAAGUACGUGAAAUUGUUGAAAGGGAAGCGCUUGAGACCAGACUUCGGUGGGGGGUGAUCAGCUGUCCUUCUGGGCGGUGCACUUGCUCCCCUCCGGGCCAGCAUCGGUUGGGGCGGCGGGAUAAAGAUCCCGGGAAUGUGGCUCCUUUCGGGGAGUGUUAUAGCCCGGGUGAAUGCCGCCAGCUCCGACCGAGGACCGCGCCUUCGGGCUAGG